UAGAUUGAAGCCAGUUGAUUAGGGUAUUUAGCUGUUAACUAAAAGUUCGUGGGGAGCAUGCCCCACCAAUCUAG
Molecule: non-coding RNA, 74 nt
Organism: Hippopotamus amphibius kiboko
Lineage: Eukaryota; Metazoa; Chordata; Mammalia; Artiodactyla; Hippopotamidae
Source: the annotation of a RefSeq genome assembly